This 120-nucleotide ribosomal RNA is filed under the name uncultured bacterium. RNAcentral describes it as "partial 16S ribosomal RNA". It matches the Rfam family "Bacterial small subunit ribosomal RNA", at positions 215 to 334 of the family's 1533-position model. The record is from RNAcentral.
GCGGUUUUGGAUGGACUCGCGGCCUAUCAGCUUGUUGGUGAGGUAAUGGCUCACCAAGGCGACGACGGGUAGCCGGCCUGAGAGGGUGACCGGCCACACUGGGACUGAGACACGGCCCAG